CAUAGUCGAUCUUUGAAGUUUUCUCUUAAAGGUUUAGUUGACAAAUCUCCCAAAAAGAGACAAAUCUCCCAAAAAGAGCAAGGAAUAUGGAAAGAAAUCUUCUUACAAGAAAUAUGGUAAAAAGAAGGGGUUAACUGGACCAAAUGAAGGACACCCUGAUGCUCCAUCUGGUGGAUAUAGUGCUGGUGAUGUCAAGAAUGAAGAAUUGCAGGCUUAUGGGGAAUUGGAUAGCUUUUCUUCUCCCGUUGGUAGCUUGACAGAAGGUAUAUGUUCAAUUAAUCAGGCAGGGGUCAUAAAGCACAAAUUUAUAGAUGAGGUUACUGGAAACGCGGGUAAGAGGACAGUCCAAAUGAAAGGUAGCAAGCCUCAGCGUUUGGAUGAGGAUGAUGUUGGAAUUCAAACAAGCAUGCCAAAGACCUCUAAGGGGCCAAAGCUUGUUAUACAUUUGGGCUCGCGGAAUAAAAACAUAGCAGGUUCCCCCAAGUCCGAUGCUUCAAGCUGUCAGAAAGAGCAAGAUUUGACUACUUCAAAUGGUAGUGAGGAUCUAGUUCAGCUGAGAGAGAAUGAGAACUCGGAAAGGAAUGACACUGCAGCUAAACUUGGUGGUGGAAAAGGACAUAAGGUGGAUCAUAUGGACCAAAUAAAGGGUCAAAAUCAUAGGGGUAAAGAAAGCAACUUAAUAAAGAUCAAGAAAGUUAGCUCAGAAGGUACUAAUUUCCCUGCCAAAGUUGGUGGAAAUUUUGCCGAUGGAUCUGGACCUUAUCCUCCAGUCAAGACUUUUGGUAUAAUAGGAAAAAGAAGCAAUGACGGUAGUGUUAUUACAAGGGCUGGAGCUGAAGUUCCUGCUACAAGGGACAACAAAUUGGCUUCUGUAAAACAUGCCGAAGCUGGGCCCGCUUCUUGUGAUGACCUGAAUGACGAGAAAAAUAGCACACCUUCAGUAUCAAAUUCAACGAGAAAGGAUCCAAAACCUCUCCUAAAGCUCAAGUUCAAGAAUCCUUACCAUGAAAAUCAAAAUGCCUGGGCUUCUCCAGGAGAGGAGGAUAAAAGCAUGGUUAAGGGCCAGAGGUCUAAGAGAAAGAGAGCACCAGCCUUUGGAGAAAAAGCAUCAACCAGGGCUGAUGAUAAUUCAUCACAGCGGUAUGAAGACAAUACAAUGGAUGAGUUCUUGGAUGCUAACUGGAUACUGCAGAAGUUGGGAAAAGAUGCAAAAGGAAAGCGAGUGGAAGUUCAUCAUUCGUCUGAUAAUACCUGGCAUAGAGGGACAGUCGUAGAAGUCUUUGAAGGGUCAUCGGUUGUGUCUGUUGCUCUUGAUGAUGGGAAGAAGAAGAACUUGGAACUUGGAAAGCAAGGAAUACGUUUUGUAUCUCAGAAGCAAAAACGUUGACUGCUAUUAAAAUUGGUUAUUAGAUGCAGCGUAUUGCGACUUCUGAUACCAAGAGCAUGAACAACUGCUGAUUCCUAGAGUUGUUCUUCUUUGGUGGACUCUUAAGGAAGUAACUGAUCAUUGCAGGUCGAAUUUCAAGAUUACUGCUCCCUGCAUCAUGUGUUAGCUAACCUUUGCUUACCAGAUUUACAUGUAAGGUCGUUGGUUGGUUCUGUUUUAUUGUUACCUUUUGUUUCCCAGUGUACAGAUUCUCUUUCUGGUCAGAGGUAGAACACAGUUUUUGAGCCUUUUGGUGUUACUUUAGAUUAAUCUUUGCUGGAUUUGCAGUUUUAAUGUAAAAUUUCUAGAGAUUAGAAAGUUCUGUUCCUACUGGUUGUAACUCAGGGUAGAUGAGAUUUUUAUACUUAUUGAAACACACGCAGUAUCACUCUACACUUUCAGAAAUUUGUGAUCAAAUAACUUUGUAUCAUUGUAUCGGUA
This is an RNA transcript of Solanum stenotomum, 1867 nucleotides long. RefSeq lists it as uncharacterized. The transcript is spliced from 4 exons. The record is from RefSeq and is a predicted model, not a curated record. Lineage: Eukaryota; Viridiplantae; Streptophyta; Magnoliopsida; Solanales; Solanaceae.